RNAcentral lists this transfer RNA (69 nucleotides) under Capra hircus (goat). It matches the Rfam family "tRNA". From Rfam's summary of the family: Transfer RNA (tRNA) molecules are approximately 80 nucleotides in length. Their secondary structure includes four short double-helical elements and three loops (D, anti-codon, and T loops). Lineage: Eukaryota; Metazoa; Chordata; Mammalia; Artiodactyla; Bovidae. The record is from Rfam by way of RNAcentral. RNAcentral also lists the same sequence under 1 other name.
CCUGAUGGCUCAGUGGGUAAAGAAUCUGCCUGUGAUGCAAAAGACCUGGGUUCAAUCCCUGCGUCAGGA